UACGGAGGGUGCAAGCGUUAAUCGGAAUUACUGGGCGUAAAGCGUGCGCAGGCGGUUUGUUAAGUCCGCUGUGAAAUCCCCGAGCUCAACUUGGGAAUUGCAGUGGAUACUGGCAAGCUGGAGUAUGGUAGAGGAAGGUGGAAUUCCCGGUGUAGCAGUGAAAUGCGUAGAUAUCGGGAGGAACACCUGUGGCGAAAGCGGCGCACUGGACCACAACUGACGCUGAGGCGCGAAAGCUAGGGGAGCAAACAGG
This 253-nucleotide ribosomal RNA is filed under the name uncultured bacterium. Its description in RNAcentral is "partial 16S ribosomal RNA". It matches the Rfam family "Bacterial small subunit ribosomal RNA", at positions 524 to 776 of the family's 1533-position model. The record is from RNAcentral.